GACAAACGCUGGCGGCGUGCCUAAUACAUGCAAGUUGAGCGCUGAAGGUUGGUACUUGUACCAACUGGAUGAGCAGCGAACGGGUGAGUAACGCGUGGGGAAUCUGCCUUUGAGCGGGGGACAACAUUUGGAAACGAAUGCUAAUACCGCAUAAAAACUUUAAACACAAGUUUUAAGUUUGAAAGAUGCAAUUGCAUCACUCAAAGAUGAUCCCGCGUUGUAUUAGCUAGUUGGUGAGGUAAAGGCUCACCAAGGCGAUGAUACAUAGCCGACCUGAGAGGGUGAUCGGCCACAUUGGGACUGAGACACGGCCCAAACCCCUACGGGAGGCAGCAGUAGGGAAUCUUCGGCAAUGGACGAAAGUCUGACCGAGCAACGCCGCGUGAGUGAAGAAGGGUUUCGGAUCGUAAAACUCGGUUGGUAGAGAAGAACGUUGGUGAGAGUGGAAAGCUCAUCAAGUGACGGUAACUACACAGAAAGGGACGGCUAACUACGUG
RNAcentral lists this ribosomal RNA (497 nucleotides) under uncultured bacterium. RNAcentral's name for it is "partial 16S ribosomal RNA". It matches the Rfam family "Bacterial small subunit ribosomal RNA", at positions 28 to 507 of the family's 1533-position model. The record is from RNAcentral.